GUUGGUAUUUUGUCUAAGCUCCACCCCCACAGUUACCUGGCAACAGCAGGUAUGCUCCGCCCCACAGUUACCUGGCAACAGAUAUCUGUGCCUGACACUAUAUAAGGGGCUGCUUGCCCCCCUCACUCUCUUGAUUCUCUCUUCUCUGCUCUGCUCUCUUUCCCUCUUCCCCUUUGUCCCUUCUCUCCCCACCCCCCUCCUCUCCACAGCUCAUGGCUGCCCUUUACUUCUCCCCUCUUCUACUCUUCUUCUCUCAUUAAAACUCUCCACGAGGAACCACGUUGGCUUGGUGUGGUCUGUCCGGAUGCGAGCCGAGAUUUAAACCCCAACAAUUAUAGUCUUCUGAGGAUAGCUCACAGUUGGUGCCACGUGUUUUUUUACUUGUAGAAGAAAUAAAGCAAGUUGUGAGAAUGAACGGGAAAAAAUAUUCACUCCUGAGGCAAGUGUGAGAGCUAGAAGUGGAGUGGGUGGGGAGGUGCUGAGGUAGGAGAAUGGAGAGCUCCACGCCACCUCGGUUACAAAGCUACAUCCUGUCAUAAGCAGAAAAAUGAAGCCGGAGUCAACAAGCAAACAAAUCGGAUUCCUGCCCACCUUUGAUGCAGAAGCUUAUUUUUUUUUUCUUAGUCUUUUACCUUAGACAGCAAUUCUAGAAACUUCUUUACUCAGUGGUCUCUGCCUUAGCGUGUUUGGCAAAGGUACCCUCAAUGACCGUGUCUUGUGGCACAUUGCCGUUCUGCCAGCUUCCCUCGCUGGGACUCAGACAAAGGACACAGAGUGGCCCUACAGCUCUGAAAAUAGAAGUCCUGAGGCCUCCCAUGACCACCCUCUCCUCGAGGUGCCUGCCCUUUCUCAUAUGCAGAUGAGACUCUCCGCAAUCAGAAACAAAGAAUCCCCCUGAGAGGAAGGUACCCAUCUACAGAACUCCAACUCAUCCCCAGACUUAGGCUCUGCUCACUGAGAUGAAAUGUAUGGCCAACCUGUGACCUGAUUGUCUCUUAAAAAAGAAAGAAAAGUAAAUAAACGAGCAAUCAAUGUCUAAUCUCCUCAGAUGCCCAGCGGGAUGUGGAACUCAGGUUUUGCUGUGUGGGAACCACCGCAUGCAGGGCCUGAAUUCUUAACUGUUCAUCUGUGAGAUCCUGCACACCUGUGUUCCCUCAAGAUCGGCUUACCUCCCGUGGGUGAACACGCCUUCGAGCUCCCGGUGAUGAAGCCAAUGACAGUAUUGUUUACGUGGCUGCUGGUCACCUCAUCUGUAACCCUGGAAAAGCGGUCUCCUUCCCUAGUGAAGAGACAACCCACAGGAAGGAAGCAACCUGCCAGCUGCACAGAGGACGGGGACAAAUAUCCAGAUACACAAAGAACCACAAGAAUGCUGGGCGGUGGGGGCGCACACCCUUAAUCCCAGAACCUGGGAGGCAGAGGCAGGCAGAACUCUUGAGUUGAGGCCAGCCUGGUCUAAAGAGUGAGUUCCAGGUCACAGAGAAACAGUGUCUAAAUCAAUCAAUCAAUAAGGAAAAAGAAAACACCUCACAGACUUGCCCAUGGACAAUCCACUAGAGGAAUUUUCCCAAUUGAAGUUCUCUUCCCACAUAACUCCAUAGUCUGUGUCAAGCUGUGUCAAGAACUAGUCAGGACAGAAUGUAUACACACGUGCAUACUUACGGUGUGUGGAUACCUUUUAAAGCCAGACAGGGGAGCAUGGACAGAGGAGGACGAGAGCCUAGAGGUGAUGACGGUGAGGUGAGGCCAACUGAGAGAGGGAAGGCAUGAGAUUGGGGGGACAGAUGCAGGCAGUGGGAGGAGAUGGAUAAGCACAAAGUCCAAUGACACGCAUGUGUGGAGGUGCAGUGGUACAAUCUCCAUAUAAAUAGCGGUAACCUUUGAAAGGAAGAUGACCACGUCCACGUCUUGCCCCUUACACAAAUGGUAGGUAUUUUCUUGUGAGAGGUGGAGUGCUAAGCCACAACUGAGAGACUUUAGAGAUGGCGACGUGGGCAAGUAUCCUGAGACACGGGUGUGUGUGUGUGUGGCGGGAGGGGGUGUCUUGGGUCAGCAUCACCUGGAACUUCUAUAAAGUGUCACUUCUUGGGCCCAACACAGUCUUUCCGAUUCAGACACUGUGGGAGUAAAGCCCAAAAUCCUGUAGUCUAACCCUCAGGUGACUUUUCAGGUAAGAUAUAUAUGUAUAUAUAUGUAUGUAUAUAUAUAUGUAUAUAUAUAUGUAUGUAUAUAUAUAUAUACAUACAUACAUAUAUCCAGAUAAUUAUCAAUCUAAGGCGGGUGAGGCCAAACAUCUGUUCUCUGUGCCCAACCUCUCCAUUUCACACUCAAAAGUGGAGUCUCUGACGGUUUGUGCCACUCCAGUUCAGAAACGGGGCAGGCACAGCACAUGGACUACCUUUCCCACUACCGUCCACAGGGAGGCAGCAGAGAGUCACGUAAAAGUCCGCACAGAGCAAGAAACCCCUGCUUGGACUCCAUCACUUUGUCUGGAACAACCCGUGUCGUUUCAGAAGUUGUGCUCAAGACCCAAGCCCUGUACAAGGAUUUGAUGACUCUCCUUGGGAAUCCGAGUUUCCAUCCCAACAUAGCAGAACUUUGGAAUGAGUACAAACCUAGGCAGCAACCUGCCCUGGCAAGGCGAGGUUGGCUUGCAAACAGAAAUUAGGGGUUGUCAGAGGCCUCUCAAAGUAGUGGUUCUCUCUGAUACCAUGAAAACAUAGUAGGGACCAGGGAUCAGUCAAUGAAAUGUUAACCACACAGCUUGACUCAUUCUCACCAUUCACAUAAAAAGAAAAAUGAAUGAGUGAAUACGUGAAUGAACAAACAAAUAUGUAGUCGUGGGCACAUGUCUACAAUCUCAGCACGGUGAGGCAGAGACGAGAGGGAUCCCCUGGGACUAGCUGGCCAGCCAGAAGGUACUAAGACAUCUCCUUUUCUUAUUCAGAUUAGAAGCACCAGCUCCCGGUUCCGGGUGCUCAGGGUGUUGCGCGCGCACACACACACACACACACACACACACACACACACACACACACACACACCAUGCUUAAUCCUCUGGACACGGGCACUGCACGGUUGCUCCAGGUGAGUCCUGUUUCUUGUCAAUCAAACCUCUGAGAAAGCGAGGCCGAUUCCACGAUAGACUUAAACUGGCAGUUCAGGAGAUUAGGCCUAAAAACCCAGGCUUCGGGAAGCUAAUCAGAAACUGCCUUAUCACCUGGCCUGAAGCAAGGACAGUGGGUCAGCACCGGUUUGCAACCCCACGCCCAGGUCGUGGAAUGUCCUUAGAGAUAGAGUAAGACAAAGACCACAUUCCCCAGACUCCUCACCAACAGUUUGCAGCCACCACGCCCGGUAAUGGUUUUGGAAUGCCUAGAGAUAGAGUAAGACAGAGCUACCCUGGAAUUCCCUGAAGGUGUGAAAACCUGGGCCUUCAAGCUCACUUGGGGAGGGGGUGUCUCUCUAUUUUGGAAAUGGGAGACCCCAGCAUGCUGGACUAAUGCAGAAUAAAGCACUCUUAGCGUUUACAUACUA
Rattus norvegicus (Norway rat) is the source of this 3537-nucleotide non-coding RNA. The record is from RefSeq and is a predicted model, not a curated record. Lineage: Eukaryota; Metazoa; Chordata; Mammalia; Rodentia; Muridae.